AUCAGUGGGAUGGACCGUCUGUGUGUUACUGUUAUAAAUAUCUGAUUCUAUGAUCACUUAGUUCAGUUUUAUAUCGGUUGAAUUUGAUUCUCAGUUGGAGUUGACUCUCAGUUCAGGAAAAAUGUUUGCACGAGGUAUCAUUGUCGUCCUCUGUUUUCUGGCAGGCGGUCCUGUAAAGCAUUUGGACAUUUAAGUCACAUUCAGCCAUUUUCAAGUGUGAUUAAAAGGACUGUUCCGUGGCCAUAUCUGAUGGAGCAAGAAUGCCUAGAUGUAUUAUUAAUGCUAGCGUUUGUUCAAUGAAAAAACCCGUGUGUGGAACCAAUGGAAGAACAUACCGCAAUGAAUGUAUGCUGUGUGUUGCAAAAAUUAAAUCAAAGACUAAAAUCUUAGUCUGGAAGGAAGGACCAUGUUAAAUCAAACAUCUGCAAGCGUGGCACAAGAAUUGUAUCAUAAUUAAGCUUGACAGACUUUUAGUCUUCAAGCUUCAUGUCUCAUUCAAUAUGUCUUGAAUGUGUAAUGAUAUAAUUCAUAAAUAAUACAAAAUAUUGCAUACUGAA
Carassius auratus (goldfish) is the source of this 557-nucleotide long non-coding RNA. RefSeq lists it as uncharacterized. The transcript has 5 exons. NCBI's taxonomy places the organism in Eukaryota, Metazoa, Chordata, Actinopteri, Cypriniformes, Cyprinidae. The record is from RefSeq and is a predicted model, not a curated record.